This 334-nucleotide unclassified non-coding RNA is filed under the name Hevea brasiliensis (rubber tree). Lineage: Eukaryota; Viridiplantae; Streptophyta; Magnoliopsida; Malpighiales; Euphorbiaceae. The record is from RNAcentral.
AUCCUGAUGCUCUUCAUUUCUGCUCCUCUUUCUACUAUAUAUAGGAUGGAUCCCACACUUAAUUAUCUCCACGCUACCUAUGGAGUGAAAUGAGACCUCAACGAAACACUUUUCAUCAACAGAUUUGAAUUUUUUAAAAUCGAGCCAAAACCACAUGUGUUCUGAUGAAAUGUUAAAUCGAUCGAGUGAUGAAUUUCUGGGAAAGAAAUCAUAGCUAUGCCUAUGUCCAGAUUCGUCUAUGAAAUCCACUCUACAUGUAAGAGAUUGCUGAACACAAUUAUCGGGAUGAAAAAUAGCGCAGAAAGAGAAUGCAAUUAAGUGACGAAGGUCAAGU